This 120-nucleotide microRNA precursor is filed under the name Brassica oleracea var. oleracea. Its description in RNAcentral is "pre miRNA MIR405". Lineage: Eukaryota; Viridiplantae; Streptophyta; Magnoliopsida; Brassicales; Brassicaceae. The record is from RNAcentral.
GUCAACCAUUAACCCAUCUGACCCAUUUAAUUUAAUGGGUCAUGGGUCAACCCAACCCAUUAAUAAAAGGGUUGGGUUGACCCAUGACCCAUUAACAGUCAACCCAUUUGGGUUAUGGGU